CGCUCAAUCCGUGCAGAUCCGAGAUGCUCUGGCUUCCGGAGGCACGCGACCCCGCACUGACAGUCUUCAACCAAGCAACAACAGGAAGCAGAUCUGCUCGCCCAGGACGAGGGGAGAGGGGCACUGGGCUGCACUGCGCUGCCGGCUGCUUCCCCGGUGUAGUCAGCUGCGCCCCUGGCCGCUGCCUCUUGGAGACAGGGGCUGAAUUAUUGAUGGCAUUAAAAAGGAGCCUUCCUCUAAGAUUCUUCCACGUUUUUCUGCUCAUGUGAAGACUCGCUCUGGCCUGACCACCAACAGCACCCCCACCAAAGUGCAGAAGGGCACCUGCACUUCCUGAGAAGAACGGAGCAAGGGGCAGUCAGAGCCCAUCCCCGCCCGUCAGCUGUCAGACCUCACACUGAGGUCUGAUGUUCUCUCUUUCCUCAUUUAUACGUAGAGCUACAGGCCGCCUGCUCAGUCCUUCAGGUGGUGGGUUCAGACCAACAGAAGAUUACUUUCGGAAUCCGCUCUUGUUACACUACAGCUCCGUAGUUGUUUCCUUCUUAUCAAGUCAACCUUUCCAUGAGGUCAAGAGCCAGGCUUGCUUUACUCACUCUUCUAUCCUUGCCCAAGAAUAGCCAGUGAUGGGUAGACAUUUCUAGAUUACCAUAAUGAACCAAAUUGGACAAGUCAGUCAUCGUAGAGUCAAAUCACAACAUGUAGGAGUGGGCAUUCGGCAGGCAGUUAAGAUGAUGAUGAGGAUGCCCAUAUUCCUUAUUGAAUGCCUGGGUUUGAGUCCUGGCCCCAUUCCCCAUUCCAGCUUCUUGCUAAUGCACACCUUGGGAGGCAGCAGGUGAUGGAUCAAGUGGCUGGGUCCAUUCCACCCACGUGGGAGACCUGGAUGGAGUUCCUGGCUCCCAACUUUGGCCAACUCCAGCCCCAGCUGUUGCACAUAUAUGGAGGAAUAAGCUAGCAGAUAAACAAUUCUCCCCCCCCCUUUCUCUCUCUCUCUCUCACACAUACUCUUUCUUUUUCCUUCUCAACUAAAUGAAACCUUUUAAAACCCAACUCUUUAAUAAAAGCAAUUUACUACAUUCA
This 1077-nucleotide long non-coding RNA is filed under the name Oryctolagus cuniculus (rabbit). RNAcentral's name for it is "lncRNA (ENSOCUG00000039662.1)". The record is from RNAcentral. Lineage: Eukaryota; Metazoa; Chordata; Mammalia; Lagomorpha; Leporidae.